AUGUCAGCCACAUGUAUACUAAAAUUAAAAUAAUAGAGAUAAGAUUAGAAUGGCCCCUAUGCAAGGAUGGCACACAAAUCCAUGGUGUCCUAUGUUUUU
Molecule: small nuclear RNA, 99 nt
Filed under: Vombatus ursinus (common wombat)
Lineage: Eukaryota; Metazoa; Chordata; Mammalia; Diprotodontia; Vombatidae
Source: RNAcentral